CCUACGGGUGGCAGCAGUGAGGAAUAUUGGUCAAUGGACGCAAGUCUGAACCAGCCAUGCCGCGUGCAGGAAGACGGCUCUAUGAGUUGUAAACUGCUUUUGUACGAGGGUAAACGCAGAUACGCGUAUCUGUCUGAAAGUAUCGUACGAAUAAGGAUCGGCUAACUCCGUGCCAGCAGCCGCGGUAAUACGGAGGAUUCAAGCGUUAUCCGGAGUUAUUGGGUUUAAAGGGUGCGUAGGCGGUCGGAUAAGUUAGAGGUGAAAUUCCGAGGCUCAAAAUCGGAAUUGCCUCUGAUACUGCUCGGCUAGAGAGUAGUUGCGGUAGGCGGAAUGUAUGGUGUAGCGGUGAAAUGCUUAGAGAUCAUACAGAACACCGAUUGCGAAGGCAGCUUACCAAGCUACUUCUGACGUUGAGGCACGAAAGCGUGGGGAGCAAACAGGAUUAGAUACCCGAGUAGUC
This 460-nucleotide ribosomal RNA is filed under the name uncultured bacterium. Its description in RNAcentral is "partial 16S ribosomal RNA". It matches the Rfam family "Bacterial small subunit ribosomal RNA", at positions 338 to 795 of the family's 1533-position model. The record is from RNAcentral.